UACGAGAGGCCCAAACGUUAUUCGGAUUUACUGGGCUUAAAGAGUUCGUAGGCGGUCCGUCAAGUGGGGUGUGAAAGCCCUCGGCUCAACCGAGGAAUUGCGCUCCAAACUGUCGGGCUCGAGGGAGAUAGAGGUGAGCGGAACUGAUGGUGGAGCGGUGAAAUGCGUUGAUAUCAUCAGGAACACCAGAGGCGAAGGCGGCUCACUGGGUCUCUUCUGACGCUGAGGAACGAAAGCUAGGGGAGCAAACGGG
RNAcentral lists this ribosomal RNA (253 nucleotides) under uncultured bacterium. RNAcentral's name for it is "partial 16S ribosomal RNA". It matches the Rfam family "Bacterial small subunit ribosomal RNA", at positions 524 to 776 of the family's 1533-position model. The record is from RNAcentral. RNAcentral also lists the same sequence under 1 other name.